GAUGAACGCUGGCGGCGUGCCUAAUACAUGCAAGUCGAGCGAAUGGAUUAAGAGCUUGCUCUUAUGAAGUUAGCGGCGGACGGGUGAGUAACACGUGGGUAACCUGCCCAUAAGACUGGGAUAACUCCGGGAAACCGGGGCUAAUACCGGAUAACAUUUUGAACCGCAUGGUUCGAAAUUGAAAGGCGGCUUCGGCUGUCACUUAUGGAUGGACCCGCGUCGCAUUAGCCAGUUGGUGAGGUAACGGCUCACCAAGGCAACGAUGCGUAGCCGACCUGAGAGGGUGAUCGGCCACACUGGGACUGAGACACGGCCCAGACUCCUACGGGGGGCAGCAGUAGGGAAUCUUCCGCAAUGGACGAAAGCCUGACGGAGCAACGCCGCGUGAGUGAUGAAGGCUUUCGGGUCGUAAAACUCUGUUGUUAGGGAAGAACAAGUGCUAGUUGAAUAAGCUGACACCUUGACGGUACCUAACCAGAAAGCCACGGCUAACUACGUGCCAGCAGCCGCCGUAA
This 515-nucleotide ribosomal RNA is filed under the name uncultured bacterium. Its description in RNAcentral is "partial 16S ribosomal RNA". It matches the Rfam family "Bacterial small subunit ribosomal RNA", at positions 28 to 523 of the family's 1533-position model. The record is from RNAcentral.